UUUUUUUUUUUUUUCCAGAUAGAUUACCAAGCUGGCCACGUAGACCUGAGGGUCACAUGGCUCAGGGAAGAAGGACAGAAACUGUCGCAGGAGUUAAGAGGAACGGGCAAACAAAGCCAAAGCGAGAAGUCAUCUCGUGCGGCUGCUGCACAAACAGCUCCCCGGCCACAGGGUCCUCGCAGGGAGCUCCUUCCUGCCAGAGCCGCUCCGCGGGGCCGGCGGGAGGCGCGGCCGCAGUCCGGCCGGGAGCGGCUCCUGCCUCCCCGACGGUCCCCGCUUCCCCCUGGGAGGAAGUGCGAGAAAUGACUCCCGACCCUAUAUUCUUCUAUUGUUUUGAGCCGGUGGAUCAAUUGUCAUCAGUACUGUCACCCAAGAAGCAAUGAUUCCGAUUCAUCUUGGCAUCUGAUUUUAUUCUAAUGGGUUAAAUUGGGUUCACUUUUACAAUUAUCCCAGGUUUGACUGCGUAGUAUUGCAUGACAACUCACAGUUUCAUCGGGUUUGGCAAAGCGAGGUCGCUCCAUGAAUCCGUAUAUCAUAUCACAUCAGAUCAGGCUGAAGUUUGCUGUUUAGCGACUCCAUUUGAGAGGCUUUUUAUGAAAGUGGGAAGGGUUGAUGCAGUCCAUGGUUGGUUCAAUGCGGUUUGGAAAAAAAAAUGUGGAGAGAUGGCAACAACCCGGGGUUUGCUGCUCAGCUGUGAAUAAGCACAGAACGAAAAAAACGACGUGAUGGGGAAACGCUCAGCUCGCUACAAUAUUUUUAACAGCCUCUCAGUCCUCGCCUUUUUUUAAUUUCCUAAUAUGUUCUUUGCUUUAUUAGUUUUAUUUACAACCAGCUCCCCAUUAACACCUCACCUGAUUACUGAGGAGCUGAGACAGCUAAUCAAGAAAAUCCAGCAAACCAGCCAAAAUCGAGAGGGAUCCUCUGCUAGGAGCAAGGAACAACCUCCAUCUACUGGCUAGAUCAUUGCGUCUCUUCUCCAUUCAAAACCCAUCCCUCAUCACUCAUUAAGGAGGGUACAAUUUUGGAAGAAGCUUCUAAGGUCUCAAGAUUUCCGGGAGCUACAAGCACAUUGGAGGUUUGGGGAGUUUUAAUCCGAUGCCGGUUACAGUUAAAGACACCCUGCGCUUGUGUCCCUCGCACGGCCAGCCCCGCACAGCCUGGCAGGGAGGAGAGGGGCUGGUGCCCGAGUCUGGCAGCCAUGCACCGGCUUUAACAUGUCCCUAGCACAGCGAUCCGAAAGUUGCUUUACGGAACACUCGAGAGGACUCAAGGGAGGAGAAAGAUGGUGAUGGUAAAAUAAAAUACGUUGUAUGUGACUCCGAAGUGGAAUUUUAAGUCAUGUCUUUAAAAAGAGAAAAUAAUAUUUUAAAUUGAGAUUAAAUAAACAGCAACCUAUUUGAAUACUGAAAACGGUAUUAGCUACAUUUGGUGGCACCACCAAGAGAUGUAAUUCUAUUCAAAUUUUCAUUCUUUGUGUCUAGAUUGGUUGCAGUGCACGCGGACUUUACAAAGAGAUGAAACUGAUCAUUAAUAGCACUGCACUCCACCACAAGCUCGUAGAGCAGAAAAUAGCGUUAGGAUUUAAAAAUAGACCUGGCUUUAACCACCCGACUCGCAGGCAACAGGAUCGUAAUCCUGUUGCUGUUAUUACUACGCGCGUUAAAUUUCUG
Taeniopygia guttata (zebra finch) is the source of this 1670-nucleotide non-coding RNA. The record is from RefSeq and is a predicted model, not a curated record. NCBI's taxonomy places the organism in Eukaryota, Metazoa, Chordata, Aves, Passeriformes, Estrildidae.